UUUCCGUAGGUGAACCUGCGGAAGGAUCAUUAUUGAAAGUGAGUCUUGGUUGUAUAGUUGCUGGCCUUUUAACUGAGGCACUGUGCACGUACUCUGGGGCGUAACUCUUCAUCCACCUGUGCACUUUUUGUAGAAGUUCUUUGAUGUUGGCUUAUAGGUCUUCGACCUUGUAGUUGAUUCAAAAGGCUUCUAUGUUUUACAAACUAGUUAAGCAUGUUUAGAAUGUUUUUUACUGGGACUUCGUUGACCCUUUAAAGUUAUACAACUUUCAGCAACGGAUCUCUUGGCUCUCCCAUCGAUGAAGAACGCAGC
This 312-nucleotide unclassified non-coding RNA is filed under the name uncultured fungus. Its description in RNAcentral is "sequence contains ITS1, 5.8S rRNA gene". The stretch from base 264 to 312 matches the Rfam family "5.8S ribosomal RNA", at positions 1 to 49 of the family's 154-position model. The record is from RNAcentral. Lineage: Eukaryota; Fungi.